RNAcentral lists this ribosomal RNA (389 nucleotides) under uncultured bacterium. RNAcentral describes it as "bacterial SSU rRNA". It matches the Rfam family "Bacterial small subunit ribosomal RNA", at positions 28 to 407 of the family's 1533-position model. The record is from RNAcentral.
GACGAACGCUGGCGGCGUGCCUAACACAUGCAAGUCGAGCGGAGACAAUGGAGCAGCUUGCUGCGAAAUUGUUUUAGCGGCGGACGGGUGAGUAACGCGUGAGCAACCUUUCUCUCAGUGGGGAAUAACACCGGGAAACUGGUACUAAUACCGCAUGAGACCACAACAGGGCAAUCCUGAAGAGGUCAAAGAUUAAUCGCUGAGAGGUGGGCUCGCGUCUGAUUAGAUAGUUGGUGGGGUAACGGCCUACCAAGUCGACGAUCAGUAGCCGACCUGAGAGGGUGAUCGGCCACAUUGGGACUGAGACACGGCCCAAACUCCUACGGGAGGCAGCAGUGGGGAAUAUUGGGCAAUGGGGGAAACCCUGACCCAGCAACGCCGCGUGAAGG